GACGUAGGGCGCGAGCGUUGUCCGGAUUUAUUGGGCGUAAAGAGCUCGUAGGCGGCUUGGCAAGUCGGGUGUGAAAACUCCAGGCUCAACCUGGAGACGCCACCCGAUACUGCCAUGGCUUGAGUCCGGUAGGGGACCACGGAAUUCCUGGUGUAGCGGUGAAAUGCGCAGAUAUCAGGAGGAACACCGGUGGCGAAGGCGGUGGUCUGGGCCGGUACUGACGCUGAGGAGCGAAAGCGUGGGGAGCGAACAGG
RNAcentral lists this ribosomal RNA (254 nucleotides) under uncultured bacterium. RNAcentral's name for it is "partial 16S ribosomal RNA". It matches the Rfam family "Bacterial small subunit ribosomal RNA", at positions 524 to 776 of the family's 1533-position model. The record is from RNAcentral.